GCCCCUCCCCGCCCCGGGCUGCGGCGGCUCCCGGGACCCAUCGGGGCGCGGCGCGCGAACUUUCCGCCGGGCGCCGGCCCAGCGCCUCCCCGCCCCACAUCUCUGGGCCGCGUCCCCGGCUUCCCCCAAGGGGCUAGUCCCCUGAGGCUGCGCCUGGCCCCCUCCGGGACUGGAUCAUGAUAGCGAAUUAGGGACGUUCAGGACUUGGUGUCUGCAGCCUCCUCCGACCGCUCUGGGCCUGCCCUAUGUUGUCUGUGCUACAUCGACGGAGGGCCAAUGUCUUGCUUCUGUCGGCGGGAGGAGGGAGAGCGAAAGCCGAGAUAGGGGCCUACAGAUUCAGGAGUCCUGGGUUCGCCAGCACCCCUCAGGAAUCCCAGGCAGCCAAUUCAGGCUGGGAGGCACAGCCCUCUCCACACCCGAAGGCCUUUAGGCCAGCCUUGGUCUCGGAACGAUCAGCUAGGACUGCUGCUGCCUUGUGCGGCCUGAGGGAACGUGCACGGGUCACCCCAAUGGUGUGUCUGGAGCAGCGAAUACAGAAGUUGCUGUAAGUGGAUUUAUUGGCAACCCCUAACCUCGCUGUGGCAAACCCGCCUUUAAAGACAACUGUGUUUUAAAUAAGUUCCUCAUAAAAACUUCAACCUCGUGCAGAGCUUCCCAGUACUGUAAAGAUACCCGGCGAUAAGUAUCCAUAUUUAAAGUUCUUAUGAGAAGAGACAGGAAGCAAAAUGCCACACAAUCUUUCUAUGUAAAUAAAAGAUGACUCAAGUUUGCUGGAUUUUUCAUCCAUAGUUUCAAAGGCCUGAUAUUACUGUGCUGAUAUUUGAGCAAUAAACAUAUCAACAGCCUUGAAGUCUUCCUGAAACAAAGCAGGAUAUGAAUAUUUAAAAUAAAAUAUAAACUUGUUAAACCAG
This 911-nucleotide long non-coding RNA is filed under the name Equus caballus (horse). Its description in RNAcentral is "lncRNA (ENSECAG00000048930.1)". Lineage: Eukaryota; Metazoa; Chordata; Mammalia; Perissodactyla; Equidae. The record is from RNAcentral.